Molecule: unclassified non-coding RNA, 383 nt
Filed under: Hevea brasiliensis (rubber tree)
Lineage: Eukaryota; Viridiplantae; Streptophyta; Magnoliopsida; Malpighiales; Euphorbiaceae
Source: RNAcentral
UAUAAAAAAAAAAAAAGGAACUAUCACUUCCCUAGCCUUGCAUUUUAAGAUCUUUUAGGUUGCUGAGAUGAGGAGAGAAAAAAAGAGCGGGAGAGUGAAAGAGAAAACACAGACAAAGAGAUUCAAAAUUGAGAUCUUAUUUUCGGUUUUCCCGGGUUUUCUUAGCAACCAAACAGAUAAAAAAGAAAAUUGAAAAUCUCAGCGUCAGUGGAAGGUAGUAAGCUGUGAGAGAGAAGAGAUGGUAGAUCGAGAAACGAGGAUAGAUGAGGAAUCUGAGAUCAAAAACAGAGUAAUAACAUACAGAGGCGACAGGAAAUGAGGGGAAUGUCGAAGAAAUCGAGGUGGAGGAGGAAAAUCGGCGACAGCAUAUACCUGGGAAGAAG